Molecule: non-coding RNA, 145 nt
Organism: Pyrenochaeta sp. MPI-SDFR-AT-0127
Lineage: Eukaryota; Fungi; Ascomycota; Dothideomycetes; Pleosporales; Cucurbitariaceae
Source: the annotation of a GenBank genome assembly
CUCCUCUUGGUGUAGUUGGUUUGUAUGUCUCCCCCACCUCAUCCCUGAGUAAGCGCAAUGCGGAAUGCUGACCUUGUCAGAUCACGUUCGACUGUAAUAGUGUUAUGCUAUCGAAAGGUCCCUAGUUCGAUUCUGGGAGAGGAGA